Non-coding RNA from Trametes elegans, 83 nucleotides. The record is from the annotation of a GenBank genome assembly. Lineage: Eukaryota; Fungi; Basidiomycota; Agaricomycetes; Polyporales; Polyporaceae.
GGCCUAAUGGUCUAGAAGUAUGAUACUCGCUUUGGGUGUUCACUGAUUGCGAGUGGUCCUGGGUUCAAUUCCCAGUUAGGCCC